RNA transcript from Cynocephalus volans (Philippine flying lemur), 6249 nucleotides. It is a transcript of the gene named dehydrogenase/reductase X-linked, with no coding region annotated. Lineage: Eukaryota; Metazoa; Chordata; Mammalia; Dermoptera; Cynocephalidae. The transcript is spliced from 15 exons. The record is from RefSeq and is a predicted model, not a curated record.
UCCCGCGGGCGGCGCGGAAGCGUCCGGGGCAGCCAUGUCGCCUUUGUGUGCGGCGCGCGCGGCCCUGCGGGUGUACGCGGCGGGCGCCGCCGUCCUCCUGGCGCAGCUGCUGCGCCGCUGCCGCGGGGGCUUCCCGGAGCCAGUUUUCCCCCCACAACCCGACCGUGUGGCCAUCGUGACGGGAGGGACGGAUGGGAUUGGAUAUUCCACGGCCAGGCAGCUGGCGAGACUUGGCAUGCAUGUCAUCGUAGCUGGAAAUAAUGAUGGCAAAGCCCAAGAAGUUGUAAGAAAAAUAAAAGAAGAAACCUUGAAUGACAAAGUGGAGUUUUUAUAUUGUGAUCUGGCUUCCAUGAAAUCCAUCCGGCAGUUUGUUCAGAAGUUCAAGAUGAAGAAAAUCCCUCUCCAUGUCCUGGUCAAUAAUGCUGGAGUGAUGAUGGUCCCUCAGAGGAAAACCAGGGAUGGAUUUGAAGAACAUUUUGGCCUGAACUACCUGGGGCACUUCCUCCUGACCAACCUCCUCCUGGACACCCUGAAAGAGUCAGGAUGCCCUGGCCGCAGUGCAAGGGUGGUCACCGUCUCCUCGGCCACCCAUUACGUUGGAGAACUGAACAUGGAUGACCUCCAGGGCAGCCACUUUUACUCACGCCACGGAGCCUAUGCCCAGAGCAAGCUGGCUCUUGUGCUGUUCUCCUAUCACCUCCAGUGGCUGCUGGUGGCCGAGGGAAGUCACGUGACUGCCAAUGUGGUGGACCCCGGGGUGGUCAACACGGAUCUCUACCGGCACGUCUUCUGGGGCACACGUCUGUUCAAGAAGCUCUUGGGCUGGCUGUUUUUCAAGACUCCCGAUGAAGGGGCCUGGACUUCCAUCUAUGCAGCGGUCACCCCAGAGCUAGAAGGAAUCGGCGGCCGCUACCUGUACAACGAGAAAGAGACCAGAUCCCUCAAGCUCACCUAUGACCAAAAGCUUCAGCGACAGCUGUGGACCAAAAGCUGUCAGAUGACUGGCAUCCUCGACGUGACCCAUGGCCCAAUCUCAGGGUAGCUGCUCUCCCAAGACAUCUUUGCAUCCACCGACUGCUUGGGGUACAACCACUUCUCCCUCCAGAAGCAUGAGGACUGCCCUCCCUGCCCUGGAACUGGGCAAGUGAUGGGGUUAUCCUUUGGGUGGUAUCUGCUGAGUCUAAAAUGUAUGGAAGAGUAGCCCCAAAAGGAUAUGUCCAUGCCCUAACUCCCAGAACCUGUGAAUAUGGCCUUCUUUGGAGGAAGCAUCUUUGCAGGUAUAAGAAUUUUGAGAUGAGGAGAUCAUCUGGGAUUAUUCAGGAGGAGCCAGUAUAAUCACCAGGGUCCCUAUCAGAGACAGGCAGAAAAAAAUGUGAUUACAAAAGAGAAGGCUACAUGAAGACAGAAGCAGAGACUGGAGUGAUACAGCCACAAGCCCAGGGACACCUGGAGCCACCAGGAACUGGAAGAGGCAGAAAGGAUCCUCCCCUGCAGCCUCUGGAGGGAGCGUGGACCUGCCACUCCUGGAUCUCACACUUCUGGUCUCCAGAAUGAGAGAAAAUAAAUAUCUGUUCUUUUCAGCCAUCAACAGAUUUAUGGGAACUUGUUACAGCAGCUACAGGAAACAUACAGCUUCUGAUGCUUGUGAGAGCUUCACACGGUUGAUGGGCACUCUCGUUGGUGUAAAGGUCCACACUUACUCAUUUACCAGGCAGGCAAGGAAGGCUUGAUCCUUUCUCUGAGGAUGGCUGUUGGGUUCUCAAAUUCCAACAUGGAGAAAUGAGCCAUUUGAAAGGCUUUUGAAAGAAUGUGUGUUAUGAGUUCUCAGACCAUUGACUGUUGUUCAGCGUAUCAUCUUUUCCAUCAGGUGACAAAAUCCCACCAAUGAUCAAAGCCUGUUUGCCCCCAGGAUAUCCUCCCCUUGGAUAUUGCAGCCAGCAGGUCUUCAUAAUGAAUAUGGGGGCAGAUGCUUUUUGAGCUACUGCUUGGUUGUUCAGAGAUGGUGAAGUGGCUCUGUAAAGAAUUUAACAACCAGCCCUCUACUCUUCAGUGUACUUUUAUGUAUGUCUGAAAAUUUUUGUCAUCACAAGUUACAAUAAUAAAUGUAUUGGUUGACCUGUUUAAAAACAAUCAGCCAUCCUUUUGGAAUGGAGCAUUAUUUAGUGGCCACUUAAUAAAACAUGAAGAAAUGCCACUGUUCAGGGUUUCACUGCUUGGGAAAACUAGCCAUUGAUUGUCCUUUAUUUCUGCACAUCUGAUGCAUGGCACUUUUCUGGGCUAAACCACUUAACUUUAAACAAAUCUGCAUCUUAGAGAUGCUGAAGCUAUGUCAUGAUAUUUAAUGUCUGUUUCCUUGGUGAUGACAUAGCAUGGACAUGGAUCCCCACUUCUAUUUCUGGAGAUGGCUUGUCUAGACAUGUCGAAGUUGCUGUCAUGGAAGUGUCAUUCAUUUGGCAGCACUGAGAUGGAAUGUUCCCUGGUGUGUCCCAUACACAUCUUCAAAUCAGAGGACCCUACAACCAUGACUUAUCUUAGAUGACAUGGAGCUGGCCCACCAGACACAGGGCUCAUCAUACGGGCAGUGCACCACUAUGAACAGUGCUCUCUGAGGUCACCACACUUAGAAGGGCACCAUAUUGGUUUAAUGCUCUCCUGCCGCCAUCUUGAAAUUCUUAAUUAAGUUUGAAUGAGGAGCCCACAUUUUCAUUUUGCAAAUUCUGUAGCCACUUCUGCUCAUGCUUCUUCUCUCCUCCAGGAAGGGGAGCAAGUCUGUGGCCAGACACCUCCAUUCCCCAGCAAGCCUUCUGUAAAACCAUUGGUGUGCUCAGUGCUGUCAUUGUCUGAGAAGAUCUCCUCAAAGUUCCAAUAAGGCUACUGGGUUUUAGCUGCUUGCUGGGCCAAUCUCUGAAAAUGACAGAUGUUCAGACCCAUCCCCAACAGGGUUCCGGAGUUAGUUUUUCUGGGCAUCACCAUUCAUUUAGACCUUCCCCAAUCAUCUUGUUCAGCCAAGUUUGAGAUCUCCUGAGCUGGGCAAAUGCCAACUCUGGUUUCUAGCCAUGGUUGCCAGCAUCUUCUAUCCAAGAUUUUUUCUAACAGCUAGAACUGCUCAGAUGUUCUGCUAAGCCCUGGAACCCAGAUGAAUGUGUUUCUGAACUGGAAUUCCACCAUACUUUAAACUAAGAUUGAAGUAUACCCUGGUCAAAAUAACAUUUCUGAACAGCCGGGAUUAUGUACCCAAGAACAGAAUCUUAAAUUCUGGGAAGAUCUCAGCCUUUGAGUGUUUGCACAUCACCAAAGAGCCCAUUGCAGCUUGGAGUCAUUUUUCACAAGUGCAAUGGCUCCUAAUCAUCAUCGCAAAGUAGCUCCAAGUGCAGGCUCUGGAUGGGGUGGCAGGAUGUCUCCCGGCCAAGACAAUGUUCUUCAUCACUGAGUGAACAAGCACAUUGGCACUAGACAGAUGUCACAGUCCCCAGGCUGAGGAGAUUGGCUCCAAGAGCAAUUUGAAUCUUGUAUGACCCUGGCCUCAGACUGUUUCUCUAUGUUACACAAUAUCCCUCAUGUUACUGUUCCUCCAUGGAAAACAGACAGCAUGAUUUUGAAGAAAUCGGCAUGUGCUCCUUGACACCUGAUCAUAUGAUUCCUUGGAGCUGGGAGAUAUCUCCAAGCAGCUGGAGAAAUUGCAUGGAUUGCUGGACAGGAAGAAUAUUCAGCAUGCCCCAGGCUGGGUGAGGAGCUGCCUCCUCUGGUGUUUCAGAGAUCCUCUGGGCCACGUCAAGUGCAAAGAUGACACCUCAGUCCCUCACGGCAGGGGACAAGAUUUCUCUAGUGUGGAGUUCACAAGAGACGGUGACAUACGACACUCACAAAUGGUUCCAGUGACCGUUCCCUGACUCAAGAAAGAGAUUAGAAAGUUGUCUUCGAGUGACUCAGCCUGAUGCUGACUUUUUAAUGGCCGGUUCUUCUGGGAUGCAGGUCCGUCCCCAUUCCCUCUGCAGGUGACAUCUGUCUUUCCCUAAGAGAAUUUCUGCUCCUGCUGAGUGACCCAAGGUCUACCCUCCACAGAGCCCUCAGAUAAUAUCCUCCAAGGGUCCCCUUGAAGAGUUCAAUGCUGGAGGUGAAUUCAGCAUCUGGAAGGACGUGAAGCGUGACUGAUAAAAACAAAGCCAAAUGGAGAAACGUGAACCACUGACUAAAAUAGCUGCCUCCCCCACGGAUAACGUUUUUCAUCUUCCUUCUGGUGUGUUCUGGCUGGCAGCCUUCGGAAUGUGCUAAUCAGCAGGAUGAUAGGAAAGCAGCUGUGGCUAUUUGGAAGGGCAGCUCCAAGUCCAGGUGGAACUGUAAAACAAGAUGCAGGAAAUGUUACUGGAGGAGGUACUCAUUGGAAAGCUAAGAUCCAGGUGCUACCCAAUCAGCGGCAACUCACCACAUGAUCUUUGUGAUUGCAAUUUGGAAGGAUGGAUGACUUUGCCCCAUGAACAUCUGCAGAAAAGUGGAAGAAAAGGUGAAUUUAGGGAGAAUUGACAUCUUUACUACACUGAGCCCCAUCCAUAAACAUGUUGAUGACGGUGUGAAUGCUCAGCCUGCUUUCUGGUGGUCUAGCAUUGGACGGAAUGCCUGCAUUGGAGCACUCCCCACAGGAGCAGUCCUGCAUGGAACAGAACCUCCUGCCCCUUCCCCAAAGGGCAAAAUGGCAAUUCUCUCAGGACAUAGCAAGAAGGUGCCGCCUAUGAACCAGGAAGCUGGUCCUCACCAGAAACCGAACGUGCCACACCUUGACCUUGGACUUCCAGCCUCCAGAACUAUAGUAAUUACUUUCAUAGGACACACUGACCAGGACAAACCGAGGACUAGAACUUCCGACCACCCCACUGGUAAUGGGUGUUAAGUAAACUCAGGCUGGCUCCAAUCAAUUCAACCAUCAUCAGUGUUGAAGAGCUGAGAUGCUCUUGGUUUAUGAAAUGCUCACAGAGACCCUCUUACUAGCUACAUGGCUGCUGGCAAAUUGCUGAACAUCUAUGAGUCUGAACUCUGUUCUUGAAAAUGUCUCUAACCUUUGCCAUCAUCACACUAUGUUCAAAUCUAACAUCCUUAAUAAUCUUUGGAAAGUGUUUCUGCUGCCCCAGUAAGGAGACAAUGAAAGAACAAAACCAAAGAGGUGGGGAUUCUGUUUUAAAAUGGCAUUGAGACAAGAAUAUCUGACCACGGCCUCACAAUUCACCCAUAAAACUAAGGAGGCCAACAAAAGAACAGAAGUAAAAAUCUACGACUGUCAGCCAAUAGAUUAUGGGGUCCUGUGGAAGAUUUUUCAACAAAGGAAAGGUCUAGUGAAGAUAAUAGUUAGUGGGAGUACACUUGUCAGAUAAUAAGUCUGACAUCCUCUGAGCAAAGUUCAGGAGAAGUUUUGCUUAGUGUCACUGUCCCUCAAUUCUGAAGCCUCAUGUCUGCAAUGCAAACAUGGAAAACAUCCUUUCUCCACAUGGUUUUUGCUUCCACAAAGAUGGCUUACCAUCCCCAUCUAGUGUGUUCAGUUCUACAGUCAGCUGCAGAAGACAAGACAAGAAGGAGAUGGAGAGACGGUAACUGAAUGUGCAUCGCAUCUUAGGAGGAAAGAGAGAGGAGGAAAAAGAGCAGGUGCAGGCUGACAGUGUGUACCCUUGAUAGGAUGUGAUACAAAGCAUUUACACAUCAAAGAAAACUGUUAACAGAGUGGAGAGACAACCUACAGUCUGGGAGAAAAUAUCUGCAAACUAUACGUCUGACGAGGGCUUGUUGUCAAGAAUGUGAAAGGAACUUCUCUAAAACCCAUAAUUCCAGUCUACUCAUUGGACACAACAUCAGACAGAUCCAUAGUCACAGCCAAGGAGACAUACAUGCAAUAUCGUGUCCUGAUGAAAUCCUGGAAUGGAAAAAAGUAAAAGGACAUUAGGUUAAAAACUAAGAAUAUCUGAGUAAUGUACGAACUUUGGUUAGUCAUAAUGUACCGACUCAUAUAACAUGUUAAUGAUAGGGGAAACUGGAUGUGGAAUAUGUGGAAAUGCAGUGUGCUAUCUUUAUAAUUUUGUCUGUAAAUCUGAAACUAUUCUAAAAGAUGACUGAAUAAGGAAAAUGUGGUGUAUGUACUCAGUGCAAUACUUCUCAGCAAUAGCAAGAAUGAAAUUCUCCCAUUCCCAGCAACAUGGAUGAACUUAGAGAAAACUAUGUUAUGUGAAAUAAGCCAGGUAUGGAAAGAGAAAUACCACAUGUAUUUCU